Molecule: long non-coding RNA, 442 nt
Organism: Esox lucius (northern pike)
Lineage: Eukaryota; Metazoa; Chordata; Actinopteri; Esociformes; Esocidae
Exons: 3
Source: RefSeq, a predicted model, not a curated record
AAAAUAUCUUCAAAAAGUUUCAGCCCCUGAACCUAGGACCAGAGAAGAGUUCUUGAAAUAUUCUGUACCACUCACAUUGGAUCUUAACACAGCUAACAAAUAUCUACGUCUAUCUGAAGGGAACACGAAUGUGAGCCAGGUUUACAGGGCCCAGCCCUAUCUUCUCCAUCCCAGGUGCUGUGUAGGGAGGGUCUGUCUGGAGCCUGCUACUGUGAAGCAGAAUGGAGUGGAAAGGAUGUGACUAUAGCAGUCUCCUAUAAAGGACCCUUCAUUGUGGAGCUACAGGGAGAAUACAGGACCCUCACCUUACUGUGGAGCUACAGGGAGAAUACAGGACCCUCACUUUACUGUGGAACUGCGGGGAGAACACAGGAACUUCACCACCAAUAAUAAUAAAAUAAAUUGUACCAAACAUAACAUUUCUCAAACAUAAUACAUUAAA